Molecule: ribosomal RNA, 253 nt
Filed under: uncultured bacterium
Lineage: Bacteria
Description: partial 16S ribosomal RNA
Rfam family: Bacterial small subunit ribosomal RNA
Source: RNAcentral
UACGUAGGGUGCAAGCGUUAAUCGGAAUUACUGGGCGUAAAGCGUGCGCAGGCGGUUAUGUAAGUCAGACGUGAAAUCCCUCGGCUUAACCGGGGAACUGCGUCUGAUACUGGAUGGCUUGAGGUUGGGAGAGGGAUGCGGAAUUCCAGGUGUAGCGGUGAAAUGCGUAGAUAUCUGGAGGAACACCGGUGGCGAAGGCGGCAUCCUGGACCAAUUCUGACGCUGAGGAGCGAAAGCCAGGGGAGCAAACGGG